This 507-nucleotide ribosomal RNA is filed under the name Carinodrillia dichroa. RNAcentral describes it as "partial large subunit ribosomal RNA". It matches the Rfam family "Bacterial large subunit ribosomal RNA", at positions 1819 to 2597 of the family's 2925-position model. The record is from RNAcentral. Lineage: Eukaryota; Metazoa; Mollusca; Gastropoda; Neogastropoda; Pseudomelatomidae.
GGCUCCUUGAAUAUUAAAAAUAAGGAGUCGGACCUGCCCAGUGAAAUUUUUUAACGGCCGCGGUACUCUGACCGUGCAAAGGUAGCAUAAUAAUUUGCCUUAUAAUUGAAGGCUAGUAUGAAUGGUUUGACAAGAAUAUUACUGUCUCUAUAUAGUUUGCUAGAACUUUAUACUAAGGUGAAGAAGCCUUAAUAAAAUUGAUAGACAAGAAGACCCUAUCGAGCUUUAAAUAAUUUAAAAGAAUUUAAUUUAAUAAUGCUAAAAAAUAAACUUUUAAAAAUUUUGGUUGGGGCGACUGAGGAACAGAAAAAGCUUCCUUUAUAUUACUUAUCAUACAAGUUUUGAUCCAAAAAUUUUGAUUAAAGAAAUUAGUUACCGUAGGGAUAACAGCAUUAUCUUUUUUGAGAGCUCUUAUCGAAAAAAAGGUUUGUGACCUCGAUGUUGGACCAGAAUAUCCUAAAGGUGCAGAAGCCUUUAAGGGUUGGUCUGUUCGACCAUUAAAAUUCU